RNAcentral lists this ribosomal RNA (501 nucleotides) under uncultured bacterium. RNAcentral describes it as "bacterial SSU rRNA". It matches the Rfam family "Bacterial small subunit ribosomal RNA", at positions 360 to 860 of the family's 1533-position model. The record is from RNAcentral.
AAUCUUGCGCAAUGGCCUAACGGCUGACGCAGCGACGCCGCGUGAGGGAUGACGCUCUUCGGAGUGUAAACCUCUUUUGCCCGGGACGAAUUGCCAACAUCAGUUGGCUUGACGGUACCGGGUGAAUAAGCACCGGCUAACUCCGUGCCAGCAGCCGCGGUAAUACGGGGGGUGCGAGCGUUGUCCGGAAUCACUGGGCGUAAAGGGCGCGUAGGUGGUCUUAUAAGGGUGUGGUGAAAGCCCGGGGCUCAACCCCGGGUCGGCCGUGCCGACUGUAAGACUAGAGUGCUGUAGGGGCAGGCGGAAUUCCGGGUGUAGCGGUGGAAUGCGUAGAGAUCCGGAGGAAGACCGGUGGCGAAGGCGGCCUGCUGGGCAGACACUGACACUGAGGCGCGACAGCGUGGGGAGCAAACAGGAUUAGAUACCCUGGUAGUCCACGCCGUAAACGAUGGGUACUAGGUGCCUGGGGGAGCGACCCCUUGGGUGCCGGCGCUAACGCAG